This 320-nucleotide long non-coding RNA is filed under the name Eucalyptus grandis. RNAcentral describes it as "long non-coding RNA (EGRA_LNC000168)". The record is from RNAcentral. Lineage: Eukaryota; Viridiplantae; Streptophyta; Magnoliopsida; Myrtales; Myrtaceae.
AUGAUCCAUCAAGGCCCAAGCCCAUCCAUAAGACCGCCCCAACCAAAAGCCGAGAAACGAUUACAAUGUUCACACUUGUCUGAACGUGGCCCCUGGAAACGUCAGACCAAGUCCGAACUACUUGAACAUCCACAAUGGAGCACAAUGGUCCGAUCUGACCAAGCUCGAUGUGCCUAAAACACCAGAGAUUGUAACUUUAGUAGCACUUCAAAGGACAAGUAUGUAUAGAACUCAGUUCAUUCUUAAUAAGUGUCCUGCAAUUUUGUUGAUAGAGCCUGAAUUUCACCCGUUUCCAUUAUCAGAAUCCAACUCGAGCAUCG